CGCUUUCUUCGAUGGUGGGUUCAGCAUUCCCAUCUUUCAAAAGGAUUGUGAGCCAGGGUUCGGUUUCUUCGGAGGCGU
RNAcentral lists this transfer RNA (78 nucleotides) under Candidatus Denitrolinea symbiosum. RNAcentral describes it as "tRNA-Leu". The record is from RNAcentral. Lineage: Bacteria; Bacillati; Chloroflexota; Anaerolineae; Anaerolineales; Anaerolineaceae.